This is a long non-coding RNA of Salvia splendens (bonfire salvia), 792 nucleotides long. RefSeq lists it as uncharacterized. Lineage: Eukaryota; Viridiplantae; Streptophyta; Magnoliopsida; Lamiales; Lamiaceae. The record is from RefSeq and is a predicted model, not a curated record. The transcript is spliced from 3 exons.
GUAAAGAUUUCAAAGAUGGAAGAACAAAUCGAAUAUGAGUAGUACAUGAGAGGGCUCAAACACGAGAGAGAAAAAUCAAGUGGUGCUUCUUCUACCCAAAAUCAAAACCAACCCGCCGCCGCCGCCCUCUCAUCUCAAGCUCAAAGAUGAUGACUACAUUGAACUCUCUCUUGUUUGUGGGACUUACGCUUGCUCAAGCUACUUUUAGAGCUGCUUUAAACCCGCCUAGUGACGAUGAAUUUGUCAUAGCGUCCCAGCUCUUUAUCUGGUGCGAUGUUUUAUCCAUGGUUAGCUCGCUCCUUGCUCGACGAUGCCCAAGAGUUUUCGGCAGCUUUCAUCGCGAUCGCUGUGGUCAUGAUGAAGGCAGCUUUCACACUUGUAUUUCACAUUAGGUUUUCCGGUGAGGCCAUCAUCUUUGUGGUUUGGAUUGGGAUAUUUUUCACAUGCAUAUUGGUGAGUCCGAUCGUGUUUGAUUUGCUGUUUCGCCCUAGAUGGAGUCGGCUGCCAUCCUUUCUGCUUGGUCGUGCUUAGUUAGAGAUAUCUUCGAGUACAUGUUGGGACAAUCUAGAAAAUCACGGCACGCGAAGGGGGAAACUUUUACCUCAGAGCAAUUGAAGGCGGUUCGUGAUGAAUAUGAUGAGGUUUCAAGGCUAUGCAUUUUUCGUGUAGAAUCAUUGAAGCAAGGGCAGCCCCGGAGUCUUUUAACACAGGCACAGGUUUUUGUAUUUUUAUUGUUUUUUAUUUUUAUUAAGUCUUCAAUAGUUUCCUCCCAGAAUUUUCAUGUAUGUUUUG